Molecule: ribosomal RNA, 468 nt
Filed under: uncultured bacterium
Lineage: Bacteria
Description: partial 16S ribosomal RNA
Rfam family: Bacterial small subunit ribosomal RNA
Source: RNAcentral
GACGAACGCUGGCGGCGUGCUUAACACAUGCAAGUCGAACGGAAAGGCCCUGCUUUUGUGGGGUGCUCGAGUGGCGAACGGGUGAGUAACACGUGAGUAACCUGCCCUUGACUUUGGGAUAACUUCAGGAAACUGGGGCUAAUACCGGAUAGGAGCUCCUGCUGCAUGGUGGGGGUUGGAAAGUUUCGGCGGUUGGGGAUGGACUCGCGGCUUAUCAGCUUGUUGGUGGGGUAGUGGCUUACCAAGGCUUUGACGGGUAGCCGGCCUGAGAGGGUGACCGACCACAUUGGGACUGAGAUACGGCCCAGAUUCCUACGGGAGGCAGCAGUGGGGAAUAUUGCACAAUGGGCGGAAGCCUGAUGCAGCAACGCCGCGUGCGGGAUGACGGCCUUCGGGUUGUAAACCGCUUUCGCCUGUGACGAAGCGUGAGUGACGGUAAUGGGUAAAGAAGCACCGGCUAACUACGUG